GACGAACGCUGGCGGCGUGCUUAACACAUGCAAGUCGAACGAUGAAGCUGGAGCUUGCUCCGGUGGAUUAGUGGCGAACGGGUGUGUAACACGUGAGUAAUCUGCCCUUGACUCUGGGUUAACUGCGGGAAACUGUAGCUAAUACCGGAUACGACACCUUCGGGCAUCCGAUGGGUGUGGAAAGAAUUUCGGUCAAGGAUGAACUCGCGGCCUAUCAGCUAGUCGGUGAGGUAAUGGCUCACCAAGGCGACGACGGGUAGCCGGCCUGAGAGGGUGACCGGCCACACUGGGACUGAGACACGGCCCAGACUCCUACGGGAGGCAGCAGUGGGGAAUAUUGCACAAUGGGCGAAAGCCUGAUGCAGCAACGCCGCGUGAGGGAUGAAGGCCUUCGGGUUGUAAACCUCUUUUAGUUGGGAAGAAGCGAAAGUGACGGUACCAACAGAAAAAGCACCGGCUAACUACGUGCCAGCCGCCGCCGUAA
RNAcentral lists this ribosomal RNA (484 nucleotides) under uncultured bacterium. Its description in RNAcentral is "partial 16S ribosomal RNA". It matches the Rfam family "Bacterial small subunit ribosomal RNA", at positions 28 to 523 of the family's 1533-position model. The record is from RNAcentral.